This 500-nucleotide ribosomal RNA is filed under the name uncultured bacterium. Its description in RNAcentral is "partial 16S ribosomal RNA". It matches the Rfam family "Bacterial small subunit ribosomal RNA", at positions 30 to 523 of the family's 1533-position model. The record is from RNAcentral.
AUUGAACGCUGGCGGAAUGCUUUACACAUGCAAGUCGAACGGCAGCACGGACUUCGGUCUGGUGGCGAGUGGCGAACGGGUGAGUAAUGUAUCGGAACGUGCCCAGUCGUGGGGGAUAACGUAGUGAAAAUUACGCUAAUACCGCAUACGAUCGAGGGAUGAAAGCGGGGGAUCGCAAGACCUAGCGCGAUUGGAGCGGUCGAUAUCUUAUUAGGUAGUUGGGGGGGUAAAGGCCCACCAAGCCAACGAUCUGGAGCUAGUCUGAGAGGACGACCAGCCACACUGGAACUGAGACACGGUCCAGACUCCUACGGGAGGCAGCAGUGGGGAAUUUUGGACAAUGGGCGAAAGCCUGAUCCAGCCAUUCCGCGUGCAGGAUGAAGGCCCUCGGGUUGUAAACUGCUUUUGUACAGAACGAAAAGGUUUCUACUAAUACUAGGAGCUCAUGACGGUACUGUAAGAAUAAGCACCGGCUAACUACGUGCCAGCCGCCGCUGUAA